UACGUAGGGACCGAGCGUUGUCCGGAUUCAUUGGGCGUAAAGAGCUCGUAGGCGGCUGUUCAAGUCGAACGUGAAAACUCGGGGCUCAACUCCGAGCCUGCGUUCGAUACUGGAUGGCUAGAGUCUGGUAGGGGGAUCUGGAAUUCCUGGUGUAGCGGUGAAAUGCGCAGAUAUCAGGAAGAACACCCGUGGCUAAGGCGGCUCUCUAGUACGGUACUGACGCUGAGACGCGAAAGCGUGGGGAGCGAACAGG
This 253-nucleotide ribosomal RNA is filed under the name uncultured bacterium. RNAcentral describes it as "partial 16S ribosomal RNA". It matches the Rfam family "Bacterial small subunit ribosomal RNA", at positions 524 to 776 of the family's 1533-position model. The record is from RNAcentral.